AGAGUUUGAUCAUGGCUCAGGACGAACGCUGGCGGCGUGCUUAACACAUGCAAGUCGAGCGGUAAGGCCCCUUCGGGGGUACACGAGCGGCGAACGGGUGAGUAACACGUGAGCAACCUACCCUCAACUUUGGGAUAAGCCUCGGAAACGGGGUCUAAUACCGGAUAAUACUAGUCAUCUCAUGGUGGUUGGUUGAAAGUUCUGGCGGUUGGGGAUGGGCUCGCGGCCUAUCAGCUUGUUGGUGGGGUAAUGGCCUACCAAGGCGUCGACGGGUAGCCGGCCUGAGAGGGCGACCGGCCACACUGGGACUGAGACACGGCCCAGACUCCUACGGGAGGCAGCAGUGGGGAAUAUUGCGCAAUGGACGAAAGUCUGACGCAGCAACGCCGCGUGAGGGAUGACGGCCUUCGGGUUGUAAACCUCUUUCAGCAGGGACGAAGCGAGAGUGACGGUACCUGCAGAAGAAGGACCGGCCAACUACGUGCCAGCCGCCGCGGUAAUAC
Molecule: ribosomal RNA, 503 nt
Filed under: uncultured bacterium
Lineage: Bacteria
Description: bacterial SSU rRNA
Rfam family: Bacterial small subunit ribosomal RNA
Source: RNAcentral